GACGAACGCUGGCGGCGUGCUUAACACAUGCAAGUCGAACGGAAAGGCCCUGCUUUUGUGGGGUGCUCGAGUGGCGAACGGGUGAGUAACACGUGAGUAACCUGCCCUUGACUUUGGGAUAACUUCAGGAAACUGGGGCUAAUACCGGAUAGGAGCUCCUGCUGCAUGGUGGGGGUUGGAAAGUUUCGGCGGUUGGGGAGGGACUCGCGGCUUAUCAGCUUGUUGGUGGGGUAGUGGCUUACCAAGGCUUUGACGGGUAGCCGGCCUGAGAGGGUGACCGGCCAGAUUGGGACUGAGAUACGGCCCAGACUCCUACGGGAGGCAGCAGUGGGGAAUAUUGCACAAUGGGCGGAAGCCUGAUGCAGCAACGCCGCGUGCGGGAUGACGGCCUUCGGGUUGUAAACCGCUUUCGCCUGUGACGAAGCGUGAGUGACGGUAAUGGGUAAAGAAGCACCGGCUAACUACGUG
Molecule: ribosomal RNA, 468 nt
Filed under: uncultured bacterium
Lineage: Bacteria
Description: partial 16S ribosomal RNA
Rfam family: Bacterial small subunit ribosomal RNA
Source: RNAcentral